This is an RNA transcript of Biomphalaria glabrata, 6309 nucleotides long. RefSeq lists it as uncharacterized. The transcript is spliced from 2 exons. The record is from RefSeq and is a predicted model, not a curated record. Lineage: Eukaryota; Metazoa; Mollusca; Gastropoda; Planorbidae.
AUACGGAGACAUGGUGCGCCCUGGGGGAGAGGGGAGGCACCGUAAGACUUUUAUAAAUUGACCUAUUGAAAUGCGACGUGGUCUAGAGGAGAAUGGGAUGAAAUCCUUGUUUUUUUUUUGUACACAGUCGUGACAUUAUACAAGGUUAUAAUUGUGACGAUACGAAACUUGCAUACAUAAGUUCAUUUUAGUUUUUCCCAGCAAACCGUGAGAAACUUAAUUUUUAACUUAAACAAUUAUUUUCUUGUCCACCCAUAACUAAUUUCUUGUAGGAUUUAUCCCCCCUCGCACGUUUCUCACGGGACGAAUCUCGACAUAAAACAUUAACUAGCUUCUCUAGGGCUAACUUUUAAUUAUUGACCGCUGGGCAGGUGCAUGACCAGCACACAAUAAGUCGCUGCACCAGCGCUACACGCCGCGGCCUAAUAACUUUUCACACCUAUUCCCCCCCCCCCUCGCAGGAUACACAUCGCUCUAAGAAUAGCAUUGCACUCGGGCUGGACAGAUACAUAUUCGCUUAAGACUUUACUCCCACGGUAGGCAACGAAUAUUGACCAUAAAUCUGACCUGACGCCUGACAUCUCCGGUACAUCGAUACAUGUGAGAAAAUCAGUUAGCUUUCUUCCCCACCCGUUAAACGAAAAGUCCCAUCUAUAUAUAGAGAGAGACCAAAGCAUUCCAAAUUAGGCCCGCUAGGAUUCAUUCAGUCUCCUCUGUUAGGAAGUUUAGUUGUGAGAUUUCAUUAGGGACAAACGGGUAAGUGUAAACAUUUUACUAUACUCAUUUUUAUCUUAUAGGGAUGUGUGAGUACACAUUAGUACACAACCACGUUCCCCGUCAUUACAUUAUGACUUUAUUAUGUAUAUACAUUGUACUAUUUUAUGUCGAUACUAUGUCUUCGUAUAGUAUUACUAAUGCCGCUAUGGUUGUCUACAUUUGAAACCAUAGUUAUUAUAUUUGAUUUUGUUAUGUUUCUCCAUUCCUGUAUUUUAGUGAUGGAUGUAAACAAUAACCUUUCGUGAAUCUAAGUACUGUCUAAGAACUUAGAUCACAGUGCUCUAAACUUACAGAGCCCAUGUGAAAUUAGUUAUUUCACAUUUCUGGUGUAUAUCCCUCAUACAUGUUAUUAUGUCUCCCACCCUUGUGAACUUAUAGUUCCUUGGAUGAAUGUAAUUUUGAUUAACUAUAUCAAACCCUUAUUACUGUAGCCCUAUCCCUAGUAUUUUACUUUCAUCUUAUCCUUUAGUAUAUAAUAUGCUCAUUCCCCAUUUUACUGUAACUGAUUACUUAUUGCCGUAAUCCAAUUUAAUGGAUGAAUCUUGGCUAGUAUCAUCCUACAUUGUAUGAUAACACGUUUAUUGUGGUUAUCUUACUUGAAUUUUGUUUGUUAUUGAGUUAUAUGCAUGCCUUAAGAUUUUUAUCUUAAAUGCCUAUUGGGAUUGAUACCAAUGCCUACAUCUGAUUGAUUGCAAGGCAUAUGGGAAUCCCUGCUCAAUGCUUUUAGGAGGUUCCUAAUUGUCUUUCUUAUCCCCAGCCUGGUUGCUACCCCUGGUUGCCACCCCUGAUUGCUACCCCUGAUUGCUACACCUGGUUGCUACACCCGACUGCUAUAACUAGCAGAUCUCCAUAGAAAGCUGAAACCGGAGCAGACCACACCAGAUACCCCCCCCCCAUUACAUACCUGUUAGCAAGAAGGCAUUGCCUACUGUCCUUGGCCUUAACAUAUUGCCCAGUGUCUACAGUGCCCUAUACUGCCCAGUAUCAUCUGCCCAGUACCUGGCCCAAACUGUCCACUGCCCAGUAGUUAUUGCCCAAUGCCGACAGAUUAGAGCAACCUUCGCAGCAGAAGAUAAACUGGUGUUGAGUUAGCACGGCUCUCUACGAGCUAGAGAUCACAGCUGAGAGAUCGUCCCACUACAACUUAGUCUGCAGCACCAACCAUCUCUAUUGCUAAACAGGCAGCGGCCUCACCCUAGAGCCAGCUUGCCUACAGCAUAGAGAAUAUCCCGAGCCGACGUCCUAAGACAGAGCCGGAUGACUCAUCCUUCUGAGUGCCAGUCUUACGACCGCCAGAAGACAACCCAGGAGCUAGCAGCUAAGAAAAAUAAGUAGCAGACUUAGGAACAUUCUUCUCCUCCAAUCACUCAAUAAUUAGCAAUCCAUGAUGAACAGUUAUUUUAGAUAUUAGCACCUUUAUUUCUUUUAUUUUCUUAAUUAUAAUUUUAUUUGAUCACUUUCCUUUGUAAACUUUCAUUCAUUAAAUUAUUUUUAUUUAUGAACUUAUAAUAUUGGUCUGUUCUUACUGUUAGUUGCGGUGUGCCUGUACAAAAUCUUAUAUGUGAGCGGGAUAAAAUUAAUAAAAUUUCCCCUAGACAUAAAUAAACAAGCCAAAUAAUAACUAAUUAACAUCUCGUCACAUAUUAAUGGGGUCUUGUCACGGGAUCUGUAACUAGAAUCCUAUAUUAGACAGGCACAGGCAUACAGCAGUAGAACUUUCCUAAAUAUAAUAUACUUUCAUUAUCUUAAAGUAGCGGAUUGCAAACUGAGUGAAGAGUGUUACUAGAGUCUUUAUUUUAUAUCUAUCUUACUUUAGAUGUUAUCACAUAUUAACUUAGUAUAAUAUUAUUAUUUGUGGUUAUUUUAAGUAGCAUUACUGUGCUUAAUAUUAUAUUAUUAUUACGGGCAACGUGGUUGUUUCAUACGGGCUUCAUAUAACGCUCUUACUUCAAUAAUAUCCCUCCUUUAAUUCUGAGUAGUCUCCAAUUUUAUUUCUCUCAUACGUAAAUAAUGGCCAGCAAUACUAGAUCCAAGACUGACUCUGACAGAAAACUUAAAAUACAAGAACUGACAGAGACAGCGGCAUUGUUAGAGUUAGAGGGGCCUAGCCGCUCUGAUUACAUCCGACAAAAGCUGGAUGAAUGGGAAUUAGAGGAGAAGUUAGCUCGAGAACGAGAAUUCGAGUUAGCAAUGGAGCGGGAGAAAAAUGAGCACGAACUAGCCAGGGAUAAAGAAAAAAAUGAGCACGAGUUAGCCAUGGAACGGGAAAGACAGGCAACCGAAAGAGCUAAAAUAGCUCAAGAGAAUGAGGCGGCUCGCACAGUCGCUGAUUCUCAGCCUGCUAGCCCAGCUUCCAGCCAAGGGUCCUCAAUCAGCUCACCCAACAUCCCCUUCGAGCCCUUCGAUGAGAAGAGCGAAAGUGUUGAAGUUUAUUUAACACGAUUCGAAGAGGUGGCACGCUAUUAUAGCUUGCCCAAGGAUAGGUGGUGUUUCAGGCUAGCUCAAUGCCUUAGAGGCAAGGCUUACGAGGCUUACACAAAGCUCCCCUCAUACCAACGGGAGGACUUUGAAGCCCUAAAAGAGGCACUAUUGGUUCAAUUUGAGCUAACCUCUGAUUCAUACCAUAAGAAGUUUCGAGGGUCCCGCCUUGAGCGCAAAGAAACUUAUGUCAAUCUUUGCGACAGGCUGGACAAAUACCUCGGGAAAUGGCUAGCCCUAAGCAAAAUGCCCGAAACAUUUGAAGGUCUUAGAAACCUUAUUCUGGCUGAGCAGCUUCGAGACUGCUUGACGCAGGAAACUCGAAUAUAUGUCAAUGAGCAACAGGCGACUGACCCUUCUGACAUUGCAAUUGCUGCAGACCGAUACGUAGCUGCCAGACGAGACCAGAAAGCUAAGACACCCGUAACAGAACCACAAUCUAGCGAAACCUCCCCUGCCCAGCCCACACCUCACAACCAAAAUCAAAACAACCAGGCACGUGUCCCAUCACAACACCCAUCCCACCAGUCGAACCGCCCUCCCCAUCAAUCACGCCAGAAUAAUUCCUACCACCCCUCUCACCGUGACUCACAUAACACGCGUGACGACAGGAGGACUCGACAACAACAAACCCCACACGUCGUAUCGGCCCUGACGACCGUUAGACGGCCCAAGACUGGUAACCCGGUAGGCCCAGAAAUCCCGUAUAUACCUCCUCACCCCUCUACAUCACCCCCAGGUGUAGAGAAGGCCCUAAUAAACGGCGUUCAAACUUAUAUCAUGUUUGAUACAGCCUGCUCUUUUACUUCCAUAAUAAAGGAAGCGCUGAUUGAUUCGGCAGAUCUCACCGGUGAAACGGUAGAGAUCCAAACCAUCGACAAAACUACACCUCCAAUGGUCUUGCCCAUAGCGAGGGUUCAUGUAGAAUGUCGAUACGUGCACGGGACCAUAAACGCUGCUGUUAUGGAGUCACCCGUGUACGACUUUAUUCUUGGCUCCCAAUACGUACCAUUGGGAAAUGUUAAGAAGCCAUAUUUUUCCCUGCCAGUCGGUAGAACGACUAGACAGAAGGAUGACCCAAAUCUGUCAAACACUGGGCGCCAUCACUCAGCACCUCAGUUCAACCGAACUAAGGAAAUUAAACCCCUAAUUCCUGACAUUGACAGUGUCAGACGGCGUUGGCGUGGUCAACAGUUUUGGCCCCCACGUAUAAAUAUGAUACCUGCAUGGAAUCACAAGGGUGGUAGUCGCCACCGAUUCCCGCCCAGUCCAUCAUGUUGCAACUAUACCCCAUCACCCCUCACUGCUUCAGGUAGGACGCACAGGUACCCAAACAAACCUGACCUCAACCACAGGUCACGUUAUUCUCCACCCAAACACAACAGUCCACGAUGGGAUCGAAAUUAGAAUUUAAACGGAAACCUGGACGCCCAAUCUUCCUUACGACUCGUUCCUCAAAUUCCGACUCGUUUUUUUUUUCCUUUGGACAAUUAGACUGGACAACGACAAAGCUCAAAUGAAACUUAUAUGCAAGUACUAAUAGUAUUCUGCGAAUACUUUUUAAGUGGGUGGGUAUGUGACGAUACGAAACUUGCAUACAUAAGUUCAUUUUAGUUUUUCCCAGCAAACCGUGAGAAACUUAAUUUUUAACUUAAACAAUUAUUUUCUUGUCCACCCAUAACUAAUUUCUUGUAGGAUUUAUCCCCCCUCGCACGUUUCUCACGGGACGAAUCUCGACAUAAAACAUUAACUAGCUUCUCUAGGGCUAACUUUUAAUUAUUGACCGCUGGGCAGGUGCAUGACCAGCACACAAUAAGUCGCUGCACCAGCGCUACACGCCGCGGCCUAAUAACUUUUCACACCUAUUCCCCCCCCCCCUCGCAGGAUACACAUCGCUCUAAGAAUAGCAUUGCACUCGGGCUGGACAGAUACAUAUUCGCUUAAGACUUUACUCCCACGGUAGGCAACGAAUAUUGACCAUAAAUCUGACCUGACGCCUGACAUCUCCGGUACAUCGAUACAUGUGAGAAAAUCAGUUAGCUUUCUUCCCCACCCGUUAAACGAAAAGUCCCAUCUAUAUAUAGAGAGAGACCAAAGCAUUCCAAAUUAGGCCCGCUAGGAUUCAUUCAGUCUCCUCUGUUAGGAAGUUUAGUUGUGAGAUUUCAUUAGGGACAAACGGCCUGGUUGCUACCCCUGGUUGCCACCCCUGAUUGCUACCCCUGAUUGCUACACCUGGUUGCUACACCCGACUGCUAUAACUAGCAGAUCUCCAUAGAAAGCUGAAACCGGAGCAGACCACACCAGAUACCCCCCCCCAUUACAUACCUGUUAGCAAGAAGGCAUUGCCUACUGUCCUUGGCCUUAACAUAUUGCCCAGUGUCUACAGUGCCCUAUACUGCCCAGUAUCAUCUGCCCAGUACCUGGCCCAAACUGUCCACUGCCCAGUAGUUAUUGCCCAAUGCCGACAGAUUAGAGCAACCUUCGCAGCAGAAGAUAAACUGGUGUUGAGUUAGCACGGCUCUCUACGAGCUAGAGAUCACAGCUGAGAGAUCGUCCCACUACAACUUAGUCUGCAGCACCAACCAUCUCUAUUGCUAAACAGGCAGCGGCCUCACCCUAGAGCCAGCUUGCCUACAGCAUAGAGAAUAUCCCGAGCCGACGUCCUAAGACAGAGCCGGAUGACUCAUCCUUCUGAGUGCCAGUCUUACGACCGCCAGAAGACAACCCAGGAGCUAGCAGCUAAGAAAAAUAAGUAGCAGACUUAGGAACAUUCUUCUCCUCCAAUCACUCAAUAAUUAGCAAUCCAUGAUGAACAGUUAUUUUAGAUAUUAGCACCUUUAUUUCUUUUAUUUUCUUAAUUAUAAUUUUAUUUGAUCACUUUCCUUUGUAAACUUUCAUUCAUUAAAUUAUUUUUAUUUAUGAACUUAUAAUAUUGGUCUGUUCUUACUGUUAGUUGCGGUGUGCCUGUACAAAAUCUUAUAUGUGAGCGGGAUAAAAUUAAUAAAAUUUCCCCUAGACAUAAAUAAACAAGCCAAAUAAUAACUAAUUAACAUC